RNAcentral lists this ribosomal RNA (293 nucleotides) under uncultured bacterium. RNAcentral's name for it is "partial 16S ribosomal RNA". It matches the Rfam family "Bacterial small subunit ribosomal RNA", at positions 775 to 1067 of the family's 1533-position model. The record is from RNAcentral.
GGAUUAGAUACCCUGGUAGUCCACGCCGUAAACGAUGUCUACUAGCCGUUGGGGGACUUGAUCCUUUAGUGGCGCAGCUAACGCGAUAAGUAGACCGCCUGGGGAGUACGGCCGCAAGGUUAAAACUCAAAUGAAUUGACGGGGGCCCGCACAAGCGGUGGAGCAUGUGGUUUAAUUCGAAGCAACGCGAAGAACCUUACCUACACUUGACAUCCUGCGAAGUUUCCAGAGAUGGAUUCGUGCCUUCGGGAGCGCAGUGACAGGUGCUGCAUGGCUGUCGUCAGCUCGUGCCG